Molecule: long non-coding RNA, 371 nt
Filed under: Sus scrofa (pig)
Lineage: Eukaryota; Metazoa; Chordata; Mammalia; Artiodactyla; Suidae
Description: lncRNA (ENSSSCG00040020298.1)
Source: RNAcentral
CUCUCCCUCCUGUGACACUGUCACCCGCAGGAGCAGAUCUGAACGCUCAGAAAGCCACACGUAGUUGCGGGUACGAACAUUUCCCUUAAUGAUCGUCCCCGGCCUCUGCUGCACCUCAGUCAUUCUGUGAGGGUUCGAUGUGGAGAUUCCACGUCUGGAGAAAAGGAGAAAAGAGACACGGCCUGUUGGAGAAAGGCCAUCAAGACAGGAGCUUACGAGAGAUCAGACUCCAGGCAGGACGUGAUUGUUGGCCUGGAGACGCCGGGAGAGAGGUUUAUUUUUCCAACCAUUACCCAUAAUUAAUCAGCACUUCCAUAGAUUAAAACACUCUUCUGAUACCAGAUAUGCUGUACAAGGUUUUUUCCUUUAAU